This 2113-nucleotide long non-coding RNA is filed under the name Homo sapiens (human). RNAcentral describes it as "HSALNT0271869". Lineage: Eukaryota; Metazoa; Chordata; Mammalia; Primates; Hominidae. The record is from RNAcentral.
GUUUGGAUCAGUAAAUUCUAGUAACCCAAACGAAGACAAUUAGUGACAGCAGUGGCCCUUAUUGUUUUGGUGAAUAAUGUUGCUCCAAACUCCAAUAAGCUUCCCAUUGCCAGUGCGAGGGGGAUGGAAAGUUGUGCUACUUAUUCUACAUCAGCACUGCUUUUCAUAAUUUUGGAGGUCCUCUCCUGCUGUGCAACUACUGCAAACACAGGUGAACAUGUGGCUCACACCACAUCAUCCUGUGAAGAAAUGUACCUGAUAAAUGGACACAUAAUGCUCUAUGUUCAGACGUGUCCGGAGUUUCUUCCUUCUGAUGCGUUCAUCGUCUCACUGACUUCAGAAGUGAAGCUGCAGACCUUCACGGUGAGUGUUACAGUUCUUAAAGACAGUGUCCUGAGUUUGUUCUUUCAGAUGUUCAGAUGUGUCUGGAGUUUCUUUCCUCUGGUGGGUUCCUGGUUUAGCUGACUUCAGGAGUGAAGCUGCAGACCUUUGCAGUGACUGUUACAGCUCUCAAAGGCAAGAAGUUGUUCCGAUCCCCCCAGUGGGUUCAUGGUCCUGCUGGCUUCAGAAGUGAAGCUGCAGACCUUUACAGUGACUGCUACAGGCAGUGCAAACCCACAGUGAGCAGCAGCGAAAUUUAUUGAGAAGAGCAAAAGAACAAAUCUUCCACAGGAGGGAAGAAGACCCAAGGAAUUGCCGCUACUGGCUCAGGCAGCCUGCUUUUAUUCCCUUAUCUGGCCCCACCCAUAUCCUGCUGAUUGGUCCAUUUUACAGAGAUCUGAUUGGUCCAUUUUACAGAGAUCUGAUUGGUCCGUUUUACAGAGUGCUGAUUGGUGCGUUUACAAUCCCUGAGCUAGACACAGAGUGCUGACUGGUGCAUUUACAAUCCUCUAGCUAGACAUAAAAGUUCCCCUGAGUCCCCACCAGAUUAGCUAGGUACAGAGUGCUGACUGGUGCAUAGGCAAACCCCGAGCUAGACACAGAGUGCUGAUUGGUGCAUAUACCAUCCUCCAGCUAGACAUAAAAGUUCUCCAAGUCCCCACCCAAUUCAGGAGUCCCCCUGGCUUUGCCUAGUGGAUCCUGCGCUGGGGCCGCAGGCGGAGCUGCCCGUCAGACCCACGCUGCAUGCCUGCACUCCUCACCCCUUGGGCAGUCAGUGUGACCGGGUGCAACAGAGCAGGGGGCAGUGCCCAUCCAGGGAGGCUCGGGCCACGUGGGAGCCCAUGGUGGGGUGGGCUCGGGCAUGGUGGGCUGCAGGUCCCGAGCCCUGCCCUUGGGGAGGCGGCUGAGGCCUGAGGAGAAUUCAAACGCAGGCAGGCGGGCCGGCAGUGCUGGGGGACCCGGCACCCUCUGCAGCUGCUGGCCCGGGUGCUAAGCCCCUCCCUUCCCGGGGCUAGCAGCCCUGGCCGGCCACUCGGAGUGCAGGGCCCGCUGAGCCCGUGCCCACUUGGAACUCACACUGGCCCAGGAGCACCGUGCGCAGCACCAGUUCCUGCCUGCGCCUCUCCCUCCACACCUCCUUGCAAGCAGAGGGAGCAGGCUCCAGCCACAGCGAGCGAGGGGCUCCCAUCAUGCAGCGGCGGACUGAAGUGCUUUUUAAACGCAGCCAGAGUGGAUGCUGAGGCGGAGGAGGUGCCGAGAGUGAGCAAAGGCUGCUAGCACGUUGCCACCUCGCAGUUGCAGUGAGCCGAGAUUUCACCACUGCACUCCAGCCAGGGUGACAGAGUGGGACUGUGUCUCAAAAAAUAAAAAUAAAAAAAAAAAGAUUUCAAACUCUGAUGCUGGUAAUUGUCUUUCUUUUCUUUUUUUAUUUUUUUAUUACUGUUACUAUAUUUUUAGAUGAAGUCUUGCUCGGUCACCCAGGCUGGAGUACAGUGACACGAUCUCAGCUGAAUGCAACCUCUGCCUCCCAGGUUCAAGUGAUUGUCCUGCCUCAGCCUCCUGAGUAGCUGGAAUUUCAGGCACAUGCCACCAGGCCUGGCUAAUUUUUGUAUUUUUUAGUAGGGGCGGAGUUUUUUCAUGUUGGCCAGACUGGUCUAUGGACUCCUAACCUUAAGUGAUCCACCUGCUUUGGUAUCCCAGAGUGCUGUGAUUACAGGCAUGAGCCACCACG